UGCCAGCAGCCGCGGUAACACGAACCGUACGAACGUUAUUCGGAAUCACUGGGCUUAAAGAGUGCGUAGGCGGCCUGGCAGGUUGGGUGUGAAAUCCCUCGGCUCAACCGAGGAACUGCGCUCAAAACCGCCAGGCUUGAGGAAGAUAGGGGUGAGCGGAACUAAUGGUGGAGCGGUGAAAUGCGUUGAUAUCAUUAGGAACACCGGAGGCGAAAGCGGUUCACUGGGUCUUUUCUGACGCUGAGGCACGAAAGCUAGGGGAGCGAACGGGAUUAGAUA
RNAcentral lists this ribosomal RNA (279 nucleotides) under uncultured bacterium. RNAcentral describes it as "partial 16S ribosomal RNA". It matches the Rfam family "Bacterial small subunit ribosomal RNA", at positions 506 to 784 of the family's 1533-position model. The record is from RNAcentral.